RNAcentral lists this ribosomal RNA (561 nucleotides) under uncultured bacterium. Its description in RNAcentral is "bacterial SSU rRNA". It matches the Rfam family "Bacterial small subunit ribosomal RNA", at positions 338 to 916 of the family's 1533-position model. The record is from RNAcentral.
CCUACGGGAGGCAGCAGUGGGGAAUCUUGCGCAAUGGGCGAAAGCCUGACGCAGCCAUGCCGCGUGAAUGAUGAAGGUCUUAGGAUUGUAAAAUUCUUUCACCGGGGACGAUAAUGACGGUACCCGGAGAAGAAGCCCCGGCUAACUUCGUGCCAGCAGCCGCGGUAAUACGAAGGGGGCUAGCGUUGCUCGGAAUUACUGGGCGUAAAGGGAGCGUAGGCGGACAUUUAAGUCAGGGGUGAAAUCCCAGAGCUCAACUCUGGAACUGCCUUUGAUACUGGGUGUCUUGAGUGUGAUAGAGGUAUGUGGAACUCCGAGUGUAGAGGUGAAAUUCGUAGAUAUUCGGAAGAACACCAGUGGCGAAGGCGACAUACUGGAUCAUUACUGACGCUGAGGCCCGAAAGCGUGGGGAGCAAACAGGAUUAGAUACCCUGGUAGUCCACGCCGUAAACGAUGAUUGCUAGUUGUUGGGAUGUUUACAUCUCGGUGACGCAGCUAACGCAUUAAGCAAUCCGCCUGGGGAGUACGGUCGCAAGAUUAAAACCUCAAAGGAAUUGACGG